AUGUGGUUAUCAAGAAUAGAAAUCCAUGUUGUAAAUUCGUCUGUUAAAGAACAGAAUCAAGAUUCUUAUCUUCCAGAUGAAGAAUCUGGAAGGAUAAAGCCAUCUUUCUCAAAGAACAUAAAAUCACUGGAAGAAUUUUCUGUCGCUUCUUCUGAAGAAAGUUUUGAAAUCACAGGACUGGAUUUUCAGCUAAUACAAGCACCUAGGUCAUCCCCAUCCAGAUGCAUUUGGAGAGCUGAGCAGGGCAAUAUGCAGAAGGAUACCAUGGACCCACAGGGUGGUGCCAACGAGGUGAUUAUGGCCCUGCUCAUCACAGCACCUUCCCCCAGUGGUACCUGAAAGUUGUGAUGGACCACAGAACUCCUUAAAAUGCGAGACCUUUACAAACACCAGUAGGAAAUUUGAUGAGGAAGAUCAACAAAAUUAUUUAUUAAGUUAAUAAACAUGAAAAACAGCCUUCCUUCCUGGCUCUA
RNAcentral lists this long non-coding RNA (473 nucleotides) under Numida meleagris (helmeted guineafowl). RNAcentral's name for it is "lncRNA (ENSNMEG00000008370.1)". The record is from RNAcentral. Lineage: Eukaryota; Metazoa; Chordata; Aves; Galliformes; Numididae.